UACGGCCGCAAGGUUGAAACUCAAAGAAUUGACGGGGACCCGCACAAGCGGUGGAUGAUGUGGUUUAAUUCGAUGCAACGCGAAAAACCUUACCCACCUUUGACAUGUACGGAAGGAUCCAGAGAUGGAUUUGUGCUCGAAAGAGAACCGUAACACAGGUGCUGCAUGGCUGUCGUCAGCUCGUGUCGUGAGAUGUUGGGUUAAGUCCCGCAACGAGCGCAACCCUUGUCAUUAGUUGCUACAUUUAGUUGGGCACUCUAAUGAGACUGCCGGUGACAAACCGGAGGAAGGUGGGGAUGACGUCAAGUCCUCAUGGCCCUUAUAGGUGGGGCUACACACGUCAUACAAUGGCUGGUACAAAGGGUUGCCAACCCGCGAGGGGGAGCUAAUCCCAUAAAACCAGUCGUAGUCCGGAUCGCAGUCUGCAACUCGACUGCGUGAAGUCGGAAUCGCUAGUAAUCGUGGAUCAGAAUGUCACGGUGAAUACGUUCCCGGGUCUUGUACACACCGCCCGUCACACCAUGGGAGCGGGUUCUGCCAGAAGUAGUUAGCCUAACCGCAAGGAGGGCGAUUACCACGGCAGGGUUCGUGACUGGGGUG
Molecule: ribosomal RNA, 600 nt
Filed under: uncultured bacterium
Lineage: Bacteria
Description: bacterial SSU rRNA
Rfam family: Bacterial small subunit ribosomal RNA
Source: RNAcentral